AGUGAACGCUGGCGGUAGGCCUAACACAUGCAAGUCGAACGGCAGCACAGUAAGAGCUUGCUCUUACGGGUGGCGAGUGGCGGACGGGUGAGGAAUACAUCGGAAUCUACUUUUUCGUGGGGGAUAACGUAGGGAAACUUACGCUAAUACCGCAUACGACCUACGGGUGAAAGCAGGGGAUCUUCGGACCUUGCGCGAUUGAAUGAGCCGAUGUCGGAUUAGCUAGUUGGCGGGGUAAAGGCCUACCAAGGCGACGAUCCGUAGCUGGUCUGAGAGGAUGAUCAGCCACACUGGAACUGAGACACGGUCCAGACUCCUACGGGAGGCAGCAGUGGGGAAUAUUGGGCAAUGGGCGCAAGCCUGAUCCAGCCAUACCGCGUGGGUGAAGAAGGCCUUCGGGUUGUAAAGCCCUUUUGUUGGGAAAGAAAAGCAGCAGGUUAAUACCCCGCUGUUCUGACGGUACCCAAAGAAUAAGCACCGGCUAACUUCGUG
Molecule: ribosomal RNA, 492 nt
Filed under: uncultured bacterium
Lineage: Bacteria
Description: partial 16S ribosomal RNA
Rfam family: Bacterial small subunit ribosomal RNA
Source: RNAcentral